CCGGGUAUAGCCUAGUUGGUAAGGCGCCACAUUUGGGAUGUGGAGAUCGGACGUUCAAGUCGCCCUACUCGGA
This 73-nucleotide transfer RNA is filed under the name Caudoviricetes sp. RNAcentral's name for it is "tRNA-Pro". It matches the Rfam family "tRNA". Rfam says of the family: Transfer RNA (tRNA) molecules are approximately 80 nucleotides in length. Their secondary structure includes four short double-helical elements and three loops (D, anti-codon, and T loops). Lineage: Duplodnaviria; Heunggongvirae; Uroviricota; Caudoviricetes. The record is from RNAcentral.